RNAcentral lists this long non-coding RNA (334 nucleotides) under Lathyrus oleraceus (garden pea). Its description in RNAcentral is "Pisum sativum (pea) long non-coding RNA (PSAT_LNC018325)". Lineage: Eukaryota; Viridiplantae; Streptophyta; Magnoliopsida; Fabales; Fabaceae. The record is from RNAcentral.
GAUUAGGGUUUACAUCUACCGAAUACGGGGCAGAAGACCAAAAAUCUGGCUGAGAAAACAAGGGGUUUAACAAUACCGACUACUGGGUAAGAAACCAAAGACUCAGCUGAGGAUAAAAUUGCUAGCAACCGGCAAUUAUCCACAUGUAUCAUAAGAUACAACUCCGCUGGAAAGACAAAUCACAGCGACAAAGGAUUUACAACUACCGAAUACGGGGUAGAAGACCACAAACUCCACUGGGGAUACAAAUCACCACCGGGAACAGAACUCUGUUAGGGAUAAAGCCACAACAACAGAAGAUCCACCAUCAGCCAGACCGAACCACAAAGGUUAC